Long non-coding RNA from Hyla sarda, 436 nucleotides. RefSeq lists it as uncharacterized. The transcript has 3 exons. The record is from RefSeq and is a predicted model, not a curated record. Lineage: Eukaryota; Metazoa; Chordata; Amphibia; Anura; Hylidae.
AGCAACAAGUCACAUGAUAUCACUGUACUGUUAUAGUGAACCUGACUGGUUGUCAUGGGCAUUUAUUGUAUGAUAUCCAGUGGGGAAGAUCUAUGAAAACUAGUGCAAAGGUGGAAAGUGUUCCUGACGGCUCCUUCGUAUCUCUCUGAGCGGGUCUUGAAGUACAGCAGGACAAUGCUCCAUGCCACACAGCCAGAACAACAAGGUGUGGAUGGAGGACCACCAGAUCAAGACCCUAUCAUGGCAAAUCCAAUCCCCAGACCUGAAUUCCAUUGAAAACCUCUGGAAUUUGAUUAAGAAAAAAGAAACCAUCAAACAAAUCCGAGCGACUUGAAUUGUUGUGCAAACAGUGGUGUAAAGUCACCCAACAGCAAUGUGACAGACUGGCUGAGAACAAGACGCAAGCUGGCAUUAAAAAAAAAAAAAAAAAAAAAAA